CUCGAACUCUUGGGCUCAAGCAGUCCUCCUACCUCAGCCUCCAGAGUUGUUAUCUAUAAUUUUGAACAGUAGUUAUCUGUAACAGUGAGAAGCAAAGGUUUUCCUCAUUUCCUCUUUUACAGUUUCUGUAUUUUCCAUAAUUGAUACAUCAUCACAUAUUACAAUUAUGAUGAGAAAACAUGAUACAUAUUUUUAUUUGGAAAAUACAUAAAUAAAAACAAAAUCUAUGACCUCACCGUUCAGACUCAACAUCUCUUCCAUUUUGAUGUCAUGCGAUGUUUCUGACGGAGGUUUAAUUGAAAUGAAACAGCAUCAAUAAGCAUGGGCUCCACAGUCUUCCCACAUCGCUCUGAGUGCCCGGGGAGGGACUGGGGACUCCCCCCACACAUUAACCCACGAGGACCUCUCACAUGGACCUUUUUACAUUCUCUCUAAUCUUUCCCAAAGCCUUGCAAGGUGGGAGUAAUAUUAUUAUUCCCAUUUCAGAGAUGACAAAACUAAGAAACUCGUCCUCUGUGAGUUUCUGUGCUAUUAGGCUGUGUCUCAUGUCCCCGUACAAAGUAUCUUUGUAUGGGAGGCCUAAUGGUUAAGAGCAUGGACUUCUGUCCGACAGAAUUCAUUAAGUUCCAGGCCAGACACACUGCCGCUCUCUGGGAAUGUGUCCAUGGGCUAGGGGUGGCACUGAGCUUCCAUUCCAUUUCUUAUAAAAUAAUGACGACAAGAUCGUUUUCCUUAAAGGGUGGCUGUGAGCCUUCAAUUACACAGUGAUGAAAAGACCUUAGCACAGUGCUGGGCAACGGCUAGCUACUUCAGAGGCACAGCUGAGACUUGCACAGAGGUACCUGGCUGCAAAGUCCGGCUCCUCUACACUCUGCAGAGCUGUUUUCCCCCUUCAGAGCUCCUCUCCUCCGGGAGGGCUUGCCUCGCCCCGGUCCAGGAUCUCUGCCUUCGGUUGAAGCGCAGCGCCCCCAGCCGUCCGCAGGAGGGAUCGACGCCUCUGUCUCCCCGAAGUGAGGGCGCUCGCUGCGGAGCUGGGGGUGGUCUCCUCUUCCCCCCAUCGCGGCCCAGCAACCUGGGGGUCCGCGUGACUUCUCCCUGGCCGGGGGAUGGAGGAUGCGCUCUCCUCUGUCCCUUCAAGGCCUCUUCCUCGUCCCAGGUCGAGUCUCCUCCUUGCUGACCAGGCAUCGCGAGCAGAUGAAUCCUCUGGGCGGUUGUCCCUGUCAGGCUGUCAGGACCUGAUUUUCCCUGGUUCACUAAAGCACCAGAAGGUAUGAAGGCGGAGAGAGGAAACAGGGCAAUGGAAUGAACACUUCUCAAGAAUCUCUCAGGUGCCACGGACUGAGCCAGGUGCCUUCCAUGUGUUAUCUCAUUUUACAGGGCAGGUAACAUUUCUGAAAGGUCAGGCAGCUAAAAAGCAGACAGCUUUCUGGCACAUUAGAGAAACAAAAGAAAUGUUGGAGACUGGAAUGCCUGCUGUGUCAAGGCACCUAAUUAGAAAACAACGUCAGAGUGAAUUUGUCGUGCGAGUCUCCAGCUCUGCCAGAAGAACUAAAAGAAAUGUGUCACCAGAGGAAUCACAAAUUGCUUUGGAAAUCAUGUGGACCUAGCUCUUGGCAACACAGAAUCCACAUCUAACCUCGUUCUACUCAGCUCUGCUGUCCCAAAGGUAUUUCAGAUCUACCCUCUUACCCUUUCUCCCAUUAAGGUUCAAAGUACUAUUACUGGUUUCCAAAUUUCCUUUAAGACAGUAUUAUUUCUUCAAAAGAAAAUUGAUUUGGAAACCAAUUUUAUUGAAGCUACUCUAUUUCUAUCCAAAAUAGGACGGAAUGCUAACUGCCUCCCUGAGUUUCCUACUUUGUCCAGAGCUCUGAGAGAACCCGCCAAGCCUAUUUUAAAACACUCUCCCCUGGAGAACUGACUUACCUGGAGCUUGGCCUCUGGGGGCCCACACUCUGGGCUGAAUGAUAAAUCCGGGGCUGGGCUGAGAGUCAAUUUGGCCCUCAAACUUAUCAGCCCUGUUCCUCAUUGUUUUUCUGUACAUUUUUAAAAGGGCUGCCUACCUUUUUC
This 2067-nucleotide long non-coding RNA is filed under the name Homo sapiens (human). RNAcentral's name for it is "HSALNT0296977". Lineage: Eukaryota; Metazoa; Chordata; Mammalia; Primates; Hominidae. The record is from RNAcentral.